GACGUAGGGCGCGAGCGUUGUCCGGAUUUAUUGGGCGUAAAGAGCUCGUAGGCGGCUUGUCGCGUCGACUGUGAAAUCCCGCGGCUCAACUGCGGGUCUGCAGUCGAUACGGGCAGGCUAGAGUUCGGUAGGGGAGACUGGAAUUCCUGGUGUAGCGGUGAAAUGCGCAGAUAUCGGGAGGAACACCAAUGGCGAAGGCAGCUCGCUGGGACGGUACUGACGCUGAGACGCGAAAGCGUGGGGAGCAAACAGG
Molecule: ribosomal RNA, 253 nt
Filed under: uncultured bacterium
Lineage: Bacteria
Description: partial 16S ribosomal RNA
Rfam family: Bacterial small subunit ribosomal RNA
Source: RNAcentral